GACGAACGCUGGCGGCGUGCUUAACACAUGCAAGUCGAACGGCAGCACGGGGGCAACCCUGGUGGCGAGCGGCGAACGGGUGAGUAAUACAUCGGAACGUGCCCGGUAGUGGGGGAUAGCUCGGCGAAAGCCGGAUUAAUACCGCAUACGACCUACGGGUGAAGGCGGGGGAUCGCAAGACCUCGCGCCAUCGGAGCGGCCGAUGUCAGAUUAGGUUGUUGGUGGGGUAAAGGCCUACCAAGCCGACGAUCUGUAGCUGGUCUGAGAGGACGACCAGCCACACUGGGACUGAGACACCGGCCCAGACUCCGUACGGGAGGCAGCAGGUGGGGUAAUUUUGGACAAUGGGCGAAAGCCUGAUCCAGCCAUGCCGCGUG
This 377-nucleotide ribosomal RNA is filed under the name uncultured bacterium. RNAcentral describes it as "bacterial SSU rRNA". It matches the Rfam family "Bacterial small subunit ribosomal RNA", at positions 28 to 403 of the family's 1533-position model. The record is from RNAcentral.